This is an RNA transcript of Fragaria vesca subsp. vesca, 2157 nucleotides long. RefSeq lists it as uncharacterized. The transcript has 5 exons. The record is from RefSeq and is a predicted model, not a curated record. Lineage: Eukaryota; Viridiplantae; Streptophyta; Magnoliopsida; Rosales; Rosaceae.
CUCAUCGGCUCUCUGCAAUGAAGUUAACUUGGACGUGGAAGAGGGAACGACCGUAGCCCUCAUGUAUUCCCUUUGGCGCGUGCGUUCAUCUCGCAAGUCUAAGGAAUCUCAUUAGAGAGGAGAAUCUUAGCAGAGAGUGAGUUGAAUACUUAGCCUGACUACCCCAUUUCUAACCACAAAACAUUUGCGCUGCCUGCGGUCUCGAACUUCAACCACAUUCGAUCUAAAUAUCCCACAACCGAAAGCCAUGUCUGUCUCCUACGACACCCUCCAAUGUUCGCAUAGGACAUCAUCAUGACAAGAAUGUCGUUCGUCGUCGACAACAUAUUGUCAAUAUCAAUUACGGUUGGAAAAACCUGAAUUUAAUGACCUGGGUCUUUCACCUCCUCUGACAUGAGCGCCUCACCUUGGAUAACAUGUCAGUAUAGAAGUCCCUACUUUACUUUAGCUCUAUACACUGGAGACGUCUGGAAUGCUCCGGAGUGGCCGUGCUCCGCAUAUGUUUUCUAACAGAAGUAAAAAGGUAAUUAGCUCGUUUUAACUGUUGAUUGCAAACACGCCCUAGCGAGGCGCGUCGUGCGUGAGUGAGACUAUCUGUUGCAGGCCGAGGACUACUUCUCCUUCCCCUUCUUCAAACUCCGAUUCGUCUUUGCUUCCGCCCACUCCCCGCUUUAGUUCUCUCUAGAUUUCAAUUUCCCCCAAUUUCAAAUCCCAACUGGCCUUUGCUCUCAUCUCUCUCAAUUUCGAAGCUUUCAGAUCUCGAAUUUGAAACCCUAAUUUCUCCCAAACCUAUGGCUUCCGGCACCCCCGACCUCACCAAAACCCCUAAACGCCGCUCCAGCACAUCUCGAAAGGUCCGGCUCUUCGCGAAGAUCGGCAACGCCGCUGAUCCGGAUGCCGAGGUUUCCGGUGAGGUCUAGUGGAUCUCGGUGAACAAGCCCUUCGGAGAGCGUCACUCUCUCCUUCAGGGACCAAUCAGCAAGCCGUAAAGAGGCAUAUGAAUUGGACUAUUGCUAUGAACAAAAUGAGGAUAAUGGCCGAAUUUUUUCGCGAGAAGUACAGCCUUUGAUUCCAGGAAUUCUCGAGGGUUGUAAUGCCACUGUCAUUGCUUUGGGAGCUAGAGGUAGUGGAAAGACUAGCUUAAUCAGGGGUCGAGUGAGAAACCAGGUUCGGCGACACUGGCAAUCGAUGAAAUUAUCUCAAUGACUGAGAAAAACGGAUGUUCGAUUACUAUAUCCUCGUAUGAGGUGUAUUAGGACCAUAUUUAUGAUAUAUUGGCUCCAUCACGCCCAGAAGUUUUGGUACUGGGAGACACUGAAGGAAACAUUAGGCUUAAAGGACUUUCUCAGGUGCCUGUGAAUUCCAUGUCAGAAUUCAGCAAGCUGUUUGCUAGUGGGUAUGCUUCUCAUAAACCAGCUCCAAAAGGACCAGUUGAACUUUCUCGUAGGUGCCACAAGGGAUUGAUAGUCUAUGUAUCAUCUCAAAGAUAAAAUUCAGAUUCCCCUCAAAUCAGCAAGUUAAACUUUAUUGACUUAGCAGGUUGUAUAUCUUAUCCUCAAGCUUAUAAGUUUUUCAUAGUCUUGUGAUUCUCUUUAUUGUUUGUAGGUUUCUGCCCUAAAUGAGGCAGUUCUGGGCAGCGUCAAGUCUAUGUUCAAAGCUUGGGAGGAACCGCUGAAUACAUCUGGGAUGCAUGUACAUCUACAAAACCACCAGAGAACUCUUCCGAAUUAUAGCCUUCUUCCAUGCAUUACCCUUCAGUGAUGUAUAUAUGGGCUCCUUCUUUGGCUAUUCCCACUCCACCCCAAGCAUUAGAACCAGAUGAAGCCACAUACAGAGCAACAUGCCAUAUCCUCAUGAUAGAGCCUCCUCAUUGCAGUUGCGGCUCGAGCAAGAUCAUUGAAUACAGCCAAUGCAUUCUUGUCAUUCAACCAGACAAUGCACAAGACCAAUGCAUUUAUAUCUGCAUCUUCAAGAAGAUCUGGGAAAAGAACUACAAGUCUGGGAUCCAAGUUACAAGAUCAUACACAAUGAAGCUUUCAUUAGUUUGUAUAUAUAACUUUGGUUUCAAGUAUUGUUACUUCCAUAUUUUAAAAGUACUCCAUGAGCAAAGAACAAACAAUACAAUACGAAAGCAUUCGUGAUAAGAAAAAAAAAUUU